Long non-coding RNA from Bradysia coprophila, 431 nucleotides. The record is from RefSeq and is a predicted model, not a curated record. Lineage: Eukaryota; Metazoa; Arthropoda; Insecta; Diptera; Sciaridae.
AGAAAAUAUUUUAUCUUUCCUUUUCUUGUCGGCUCCGAAAACCCACUCGACGAAAGAUUGUAAAAAUCUUCAGAAUUUGUCGAUGCAACUCUAGCCGGAACACUUUAAUGCUGUGGCUGUUGUUACUUUGUUUGAUGGCGAAGAUCACUUGAACGGUUUUCAGCCACAGAGAGAGAAAAAUUUUAAUGUCCAACUCCACCCACGUAGUUUUUGGUGUUCCGUCUUAUUUUGUAGAAUAAUAAUGGAUCUCACCGUUGAGGACAUAGACCGAAUGGCCGCACAAGGUGGAGGCGACAUUUAUGCAUUGGUGCGGCGGUUGGUCCAGCAGAAUACCGACUUAGCGAGACGUGUAGACGAGCUAGCCGAACGUGUUUCCGAUUUGGUGAAAAGGAAUGCUUGCAAGCGUGGGAUCAAAGGAACGCAGCAGCAGU